This 860-nucleotide ribosomal RNA is filed under the name Serratia marcescens. RNAcentral describes it as "bacterial SSU rRNA". It matches the Rfam family "Bacterial small subunit ribosomal RNA", at positions 46 to 900 of the family's 1533-position model. Lineage: Bacteria; Pseudomonadati; Pseudomonadota; Gammaproteobacteria; Enterobacterales; Yersiniaceae. The record is from RNAcentral.
GCUUGUUGCGCACUUACGGCGUGCCUUGUUACCAUUUAUGGCUGACUAUCUGACCACGGUUGAGUAAUGUGUGGAAACUAUACUGAUGGAGGGGGAUAACUACUGGAAACGGUAGCUAAUACCGCAUAACGUCGCAAGACCAAAGAGGGGGACCUUCGGGCCUCUUGCCAUCAGAUGUGCCCAGAUGGGAUUAGCUAGUAGGUGGGGUAAUGGCUCACCUAGGCGACGAUCCCUAGCUGGUCUGAGAGGAUGACCAGCCACACUGGAACUGAGACACGGUCCAGACUCCUACGGGAGGCAGCAGUGGGGAAUAUUGCACAAUGGGCGCAAGCCUGAUGCAGCCAUGCCGCGUGUGUGAAGAAGGCCUUCGGGUUGUAAAGCACUUUCAGCGAGGAGGAAGGUGGUGAGCUUAAUACGCUCAUCAAUUGACGUUACUCGCAGAAGAAGCACCGGCUAACUCCGUGCCAGCAGCCGCGGUAAUACGGAGGGUGCAAGCGUUAAUCGGAAUUACUGGGCGUAAAGCGCACGCAGGCGGUUUGUUAAGUCAGAUGUGAAAUCCCCGGGCUCAACCUGGGAACUGCAUUUGAAACUGGCAAGCUAGAGUCUCGUAGAGGGGGGUAGAAUUCCAGGUGUAGCGGUGAAAUGCGUAGAGAUCUGGAGGAAUACCGGUGGCGAAGGCGGCCCCCUGGACGAAGACUGACGCUCAGGUGCGAAAGCGUGGGGGAGCAAAACAGGAUUAGAUACCCUGGUAGUCCACGCUGUAAACGAUGUCGAUUUGGAGGUUGUGCCCUUGAGGCGUGGCUUCCGGAGCUAACGCGUUAAAUCGACCGCCUGGGGGAGUACGGCCGCAAGGUUAAAAC